Long non-coding RNA from Phacochoerus africanus (Common warthog), 538 nucleotides. RefSeq lists it as uncharacterized. The transcript has 3 exons. NCBI's taxonomy places the organism in Eukaryota, Metazoa, Chordata, Mammalia, Artiodactyla, Suidae. The record is from RefSeq and is a predicted model, not a curated record.
CCACCGGGGCACCUUCCUGGCGUGGAAAUUGCGAGAGUUAAGUAGUGCCUUGCAGGAGGCUGGGUUCCUGCGGGCUCGCUAGGUGGUUUCUCUGAGGAGCCUCUGCGGCAUUGCGCUCUCACCUUGACCAGAGGGUGCUCCAGCCAGUACUCCCGGGCUGAGGUUAAAUGCAGUGAGCUAGUCAUCGAAUUAUGAGGGCAAGAAUUCGCUAUGGUUAUUGGAAUGCCAUCUGAAGCCCUACUGUUCGGAAUCCAGUCCUGUCUUCACCGCGUUCUUUGAUUUGGUGGCAGCAGUGAGAUUGAAGGAGACUUCUGACAGCUUCAGGGACAAUGAGAAAUACAGGCCCAAUGCCCUGUGAAUCCUUUGAGUUCUUUGUCUUUUUUGAAGUUUCUGAGGGCCACAGAAAUUGUACGAUAAAAGGUGUGUUGGAUGAAGAGGUGAUCAAAAGAUAUACAGCCAAAACCAUAUAGAAAACAAGGCAGCAUAGAGGUAUGCUAAUUAGAGAGUUAAUUAAAAUAAAAAUACUGUAUUUAAGAAA